Molecule: ribosomal RNA, 219 nt
Filed under: Salmonella enterica subsp. enterica serovar Infantis
Lineage: Bacteria; Pseudomonadati; Pseudomonadota; Gammaproteobacteria; Enterobacterales; Enterobacteriaceae
Also listed under: 3 other names
Description: partial 16S ribosomal RNA
Rfam family: Bacterial small subunit ribosomal RNA
Source: RNAcentral
AAAUUGAAGAGUUUGAUCAUGGCUCAGAUUGAACGCUGGCGGCAGGCCUAACACAUGCAAGUCGAACGGUAGCACAGAGAGCUUGCUCUCGGGUGACGAGUGGCGGACGGGUGAGUAAUGUCUGGGAAACUGCCUGAUGGAGGGGGAUAACUACUGGAAACGGUGGCUAAUACCGCAUAACGUCGCAAGACCAAAGAGGGGGACCUUCGGGCCUCUUGC